Solenopsis invicta (red fire ant) is the source of this 1051-nucleotide RNA transcript. It is a transcript of the gene named cuticle protein 19, with no coding region annotated. The record is from RefSeq and is a predicted model, not a curated record. The transcript is spliced from 2 exons. NCBI's taxonomy places the organism in Eukaryota, Metazoa, Arthropoda, Insecta, Hymenoptera, Formicidae.
AUGGUAACAAUUUGUCGGUAGCUUAUCCUGUUAUUGGCUACAGUGGCCCUUGCAGCGAUCCAAAGUGGAUUGGCAGGGCACGCUCACAGUUUCGCGCACUUUCAUGGACCAGUUGCAGGGCCCGGACACGAAGUGAUUGUCCACGAUGAGCAUGGCCAUCAUCAUGUAGACUACGUCGCGCAUCCCAAAUACGAGUUCGCAUACGGAAUCGAGGAUCAUCACACUGGCGAUUACCAUGGGCAAAAGGAACACAGGGACGGGAAAAAGGUCGUCGGCGAGUACACCGUCAAGGAACCGGGCGGCAACACCAGAACCGUGACCUACCACGCCGACCCGCACGGAGGAUUUUUUGCUCACGUCCACAACUCCGGCGGUAAUAACCAUCACGGCGGUACAUACGGCGGUUACAAGCACCACUGAAGGCGUCAAGGAAACUUAAGUGUGAUACACGACGGUAACACACUUAACCCAGGGGUCAACCUCUUGCGUCGAGUUAUAAUUGUUAAAUAAACAUUUGCUGUUUUACAAAUUUACGGCGCAUCUCGCACUCACUUUCAUCACCCGCCUCAACGCGAAAAAUUAUGCAAAGUACGAAGUACGCGUGGGGAAUUAUUCAUCGCACGAAAUUCUUUAAUUAUUAAUGCUACAUAACUGUAUAAUUAAAAGUUUCUCUAAUUCCCUUUUUUUUUACUCUGCGAUUCCAAUUAGAAACAGGUUUAUUAUAUUUUAACUCUUGAAAUAUUAAAUGAAUUUAAUGGAAAGUUCCUUUUUUCAAGGGAACAUUUUUGUUUGCUCUUUUCUGCUGCAUAAGAGAGAUAAAGGUACGCGCGUUGCCACGCAAAAAUACGUGAAACAUAAAAUUGUAAAUAUGGAAAAUUUUUUUCUGAAACUAAUGCAAAUUAUACAUUAUUUAAGCUUUCUAGGUACGUAUCAUACUUUAGAUUUUCGGCACUACGGCCUUUCGCUUAUGUAAUCGAAAGCGUUAUUACCUACGAAUAGCAACGGUAAUUCAGAAGUGUAGGCAGAACAAAUAAAUGGGCAGAUUGCGUGU